This 440-nucleotide ribosomal RNA is filed under the name uncultured bacterium. RNAcentral describes it as "partial 16S ribosomal RNA". It matches the Rfam family "Bacterial small subunit ribosomal RNA", at positions 338 to 795 of the family's 1533-position model. The record is from RNAcentral.
CCUACGGGUGGCUGCAGUGGGGAAUAUUGCACAAUGGGGGAAACCCUGAUGCAGCGACGCCGCGUGAGUGAGGAAGUAUUUCGGUAUGUAAAGCUCUAUCAGCAGGGAAGAAAAUGACGGCACCUGACUAAGAAGCCCCGGCUAACUACGUGCCAGCAGCCGCGGUAAUACGUAGGGUGCAAGCGUUAUCCGGAUUUACUGGGUGGAAAGGGAGAGUAGACGGAAUGGCAAGUCUGAUGUGAAAGCCCGGGGCUCAACCCCGGAAGUGCAUUGGAAACUGUCGAUCUAGAGUGUCGGAGAGGCAAGCGGAAUUCCUGGUGUAGCGGUGAAAUGCGUAGAUAUUAGGAGGAACACCGAUGGCGAAGGCGGCUUGCUGGACGGUGACUGACGUUGAGGCUCGAAAGCGUGGGGAGCAAACAGGAUUAGAUACCCCGGUAGUC